UACGGGAGGCAGCAGUGGGGAAUAUUGCACAAUGGGCGCAAGCCUGAUGCAGCCAUGCCGCGUGUAUGAAGAAGGCCUUCGGGUUGUAAAGUACUUUCAGCGGGGAGGAAGGCGGUGAGGUUAAUAACCUUAUCGAUUGACGUUACCCGCAGAAGAAGCACCGGCUAACUCCGUGCCAGCAGCCGCGGUAA
Molecule: ribosomal RNA, 191 nt
Filed under: uncultured bacterium
Lineage: Bacteria
Description: partial 16S ribosomal RNA
Rfam family: Bacterial small subunit ribosomal RNA
Source: RNAcentral